CCCUUAGAUGUUCUGGGCCGCACGCGCGCUACACUGACGACUUCAACGAGUUUUUUUCAUUUGAAAAAGUCCUUGGCCGGAAGGUCUGGGUAAUCUUUUAAAAGGUCGUCGUGAUGGGGCUAGAUUCUUGCAAUUAUUAAUCUCCAACGAGGAAUUCCUAGUAAACGCAAGUCAUCAACUUGCAUUGAUUACGUCCCUGCCCUUUGUACACACCGCCCGUCGCACCUACCGAUUGAGUGCUCAGGUGAAUAAUUCGGACUGCAGCAAUGUUUGGAUCCCGAACGUUGCAGCGGAAAGUUUAGUGAACCUUAUCACUUAGAGGAAGGAGAAGUCGUAACA
RNAcentral lists this ribosomal RNA (339 nucleotides) under uncultured eukaryote. RNAcentral describes it as "partial 18S ribosomal RNA". It matches the Rfam family "Eukaryotic small subunit ribosomal RNA", at positions 1470 to 1796 of the family's 1831-position model. The record is from RNAcentral.